CUUUUUCACAUUCCAAUCUUCAAUUCUGUAAUUGUCUGAAAUUUUUCUAAAAUACAAUGGCGAAAAUUGAGAAACUGAGAUUCAUAACAGAAGUUGCCCCCCCGAAGUUCAUCUCAAUAACACGGCGUCCUGUCAUCAAAAUGUUGGAUACAAUCGAUGAGGAAAAGGCUUAUGCAUCAACCCUUUCGUCAUCUUUCGGCAAAGCUCUCGACCGGGAUAGAUACCCGCCAAGUCUCUCCUUUCGAGUGAGAAAUUUUUGAAAAAGAUUAUGAAUAAAGCACAGAUCAAAUUCUCUUUGAGAUGUGCUACUUAGCAUAACCAUAUAGGAUAAAUAAAUAAAGAGCACGAUAAAUAAAUAAAGAGCACGAGGAUUAGCAUGAUCUCUUUUCUAUUUCUUUGCAAUUUUGUAUAAUUUUCUGGAGAAAAAUUGUCACACAUUCUCUUCACCACCAUCUUUUAUAAGGGGUGAAUGAGCAUUUCUGUUGAUUAUUCUUACUAGUUUUGUUGCAAUUAUGCAAGCAGUGAAAUUUCCAGUAAUUUCCACUAAGUACCCGUGGCAAUUGCCGAAGGAGUCAGCAAGUGAACCAACAACAUGAUAAAUCUGGAAAGAAGGGUGACAUUGGACUAAUUUCUUGAGCAACUCAAUAUAUAAAUAUCUAUGUUUUGUUUCUUGUUUCAUUUAGAU
This 685-nucleotide long non-coding RNA is filed under the name Olea europaea subsp. europaea. Lineage: Eukaryota; Viridiplantae; Streptophyta; Magnoliopsida; Lamiales; Oleaceae. The record is from RNAcentral.